Molecule: long non-coding RNA, 567 nt
Organism: Gasterosteus aculeatus aculeatus (three-spined stickleback)
Lineage: Eukaryota; Metazoa; Chordata; Actinopteri; Perciformes; Gasterosteidae
Source: Ensembl
CAUGCAGACAGCUAGCUUGCAUGCUACAUGCUUGUAGCCCCUGUUGAUGCCCGUUAGCUGUGAAAACAAACAGCAUCACUCCGCGCGGAGCAGAUUGAGACACAGAGGAAGAGUUUCCAAGGGCAAACAUGUGAUCUUUAUUCAAGCCGAAAGGCAAGCGGGAAUGCUUCAGAAUUACUGUCGAGGUUACGGAGAACCAAAUGUGUGAUGCCGCAUUAUGGAUGCAAAUCCAACAUCCCCCAUCACUACCUUCAUGAGAGCAGCUGGAAAAAGGGCAGCAGGAGAGAUGGAGUUUCAACGACAUUGAAUGCAAUGCUGGUUUGCUAGAAGUUUCUCAUUAAAAGUUAGAAGGGAUUUUUGGAACGAGCCCAGAAUUAAAACAACCCAUUUACCCUCUAAGUGUGGCGUGACAGGUGGCGUUCCUAACAUACUGAUACAUGCUUUAUAACUCAUACAUAAGCUUUAUGCAAUCAAAGGUUUUGAUCCGCAUCCAGCAAUAUCAUUUAAAAUGAUUUACACACAGUGUUUUGCCCCUGUGUUUCAAAAGAGGCAAUUAUGCUGGUAUCG